AGCAGCCGCGGUAAUUCCAGCUCCAAUAGCGUAUAUUAAAGUUGUUGCAGUUAAAAAGCUCGUAGUUGAAUUUCGGGAUCAAUAUAUCGGUCGUGCCAUCGGUACGUACUGGUAUCAUUGGUUUCUCCUUUCUGACGAACCAUGAUGUCAUUAAUUUGGUGUUAUGGGAAGUUAGGACUGUUACUUUGAAAAAAUUAGAGUGUUUAAAGCAGGCUUUAGCUUGAAUACAUUAGCAUGGAAUAAUGAAAUAGGACGUUCGAACCUAUUUUGUUGGUUUCUAGGAUCAACGUAAUGAUUAAUAGGGAUAGUUGGGGGCAUUAGUAUUCAAUUGUCAGAGGUGAAAUUCUUGGAUUUAUUGAAGACUAACUACUGCGAAAGCAUUUGCCAAGGAUGUUUUCAUUAAUCAAGAACGAAAGUUAGGGGAUCGAAGACGAUCAGAUACCGUCGUAGUCUUAACCAUAAACUAUGCCGACUAGGGAUCGGAUGAUGUUAAUUUUUUAAUGACUCAUUCGGCGCCUUACG
This 522-nucleotide ribosomal RNA is filed under the name uncultured Glomeraceae. Its description in RNAcentral is "SSU rRNA". It matches the Rfam family "Eukaryotic small subunit ribosomal RNA", at positions 569 to 1092 of the family's 1831-position model. Lineage: Eukaryota; Fungi; Glomeromycota; Glomeromycetes; Glomerales; Glomeraceae. The record is from RNAcentral.